AUGCGACUAGUUCUUAUUACGAUGAAGGUUUGUGCCGUGAAAGAUCGGGCCAACAAUGGAUUGACCCUCGUCUCGAGGUUCGCUCCCCAUCAAGUGGUAUCAGUGCCCGGCAUUUCUCAUGGCACUUCGGAGGUGACGCCCGACGUGCCGUCACCAAGGAGCUACUGGAGGCUCUCCGAUGAUUUUUUGCUGGAGGAGAAGGGUUAUAGUGCUGACCUUUUUCACACCUAUUGUAAAGUGGGAGAGAAAGUUUGGGCCACGAUGAUAGACCACGACAGUUUGAUCAACGCUGUCCGCGUCGACAUGGUGGACAAGCUGCAUCUAUCGAUGACACCACAUCCACGACCGUACUCACUGAGGAGGUGCUACGACAAGCUCGCCAUCAUGCACCAAACUAUUGUACUGUUUUCUAUCGGCAAAUUUUCUUGUGAGGUUUUGUGCGACAUUAUACCGGUACCGAUGGAUUCGUGUCAUAUGCUUUUGGGAGAGCCAUGGUAUAGGAAAAAUAAUGCUGCAUACGAUUAUCUCGCCAACACAUACACUGUUGAAUGGGAUAGAAAAUAUGUUCUCAUGGCGAUGGAGAAUAAGUUGUUCAGGACUUGGAGAAAAGAACGUCUGCAGAAGAUGAAAGAGAAACAAGAACCAAAGACAGUGAGGACAGUUACUGAAUUUUCUUCGGUGCACAUUCAGCCGGCAGAAAAAGUUGUUGCUGAAGAGACUGACUUGAAACCGAGGACGGUUUCGCUUGAAGGGAGGGAGGACGAUACGGCCAGUCCUAGCUCCGAUCUUGUUGAUGUUGCAGUUGCUCGAGGAUUUAAAGGUAUGCAAGUUGGUUCGGCCACUACUACCUAUCAUAUGCUUAACAUGGACCAAGGGGCGCAUGCAUAUGCUAGUACAUGCACGGACAAUGCCAAAGCAUUAGCUGGUUCAGCUCUAAACACAUCACGUUCAGAUCUUGUUCGGAGCUAUGAUAAAAUAAGAGAUACAAUUGAUUUGUUUGAGUUGCCAAGGCCGCCGGAAGUAAGUCCUGAUUCAGUUUGGACAAGUAUAGAUGAUUUUAUGUGGGACUCUAAUUGGAGAGAUAGAGGUACCACUCGCGGGUUUAAAAGGAAAAGUGCAGACAAGAUUCUUCUUUAUAUUUCUGCCAUGCAAAGAGAAGUACGGCCAUCCAUUAUCUAG
This 1179-nucleotide ribosomal RNA is filed under the name Triticum aestivum (bread wheat). RNAcentral's name for it is "partial small subunit ribosomal RNA". The record is from RNAcentral. Lineage: Eukaryota; Viridiplantae; Streptophyta; Magnoliopsida; Poales; Poaceae.